RNAcentral lists this ribosomal RNA (775 nucleotides) under uncultured Neocallimastigales. RNAcentral describes it as "partial large subunit ribosomal RNA". It matches the Rfam family "Eukaryotic large subunit ribosomal RNA", at positions 21 to 646 of the family's 3401-position model. The record is from RNAcentral. Lineage: Eukaryota; Fungi; Neocallimastigomycota; Neocallimastigomycetes; Neocallimastigales.
UUAGAUGCGAGAGUAGAGCAUAUCAAUAAGCGGAGGAAAAGAAACUAACAAGGAUUCCCUUAGUAACGGCGAGUGAAGCGGGAAGAGCUCAAAUUUGAAAUCUUCAAGGUUUUACCUUGACGAAUUGUAGUUUAAAGAAGUGUUUUCUGUUGGAGUUUUGGUAAAAGUUCUUUGGAAUAGGACAUCAUAGAGGGUGAGAAUCCCGUAUUUGACCAUUAUUUCCAGCUGUGUGAUACACUUUCAAAGAGUCGGAUUGUUUGGGAAUGCAGUCCAAAAUGGGUGGUAAAUUUCAUCUAAAGCUAAAUAUUGGCGAGAGACCGAUAGCGAACAAGUACCGUGAGGGAAAGAUGAAAAGAACUUUGAAAAGAGAGUUAAACAGUACGUGAAAUUGUCAAAAGGGAAGCGUUUGACACCAGUGUUGUUUUCUCGAAAAUCAAUUAAAAAUGAUGGGAUUUUGUGUUGUAUUGACUUUAUCAGCUUUCUGCACUUUAUUCUUAUCUUUUUUAAUGCACUUUUCGUUUAACAAGUCGACAUCAAUUUCUUUUGUUGUAAAAGAGUCAUUGGAAGGUGGCUUUUUCUUCGGAAAAAGUGUUUAUAGCCUUUGGCUUCUGCAAUCGGAGAGAUUGAGGUCUGCAGCGUAGAUCCUUCGGGGUUAGAUACAUUUGUGCUAAGCUAUAGUUCUUUAUAGACAACUUGUUGACUAUAAUCAAUCCUGUAACUUACUCGCUUAUGCUAUUUUACCUACGCUUAGGAUGUUGACACACGCGCGUGCUCG